Molecule: ribosomal RNA, 527 nt
Filed under: uncultured bacterium
Lineage: Bacteria
Description: bacterial SSU rRNA
Rfam family: Bacterial small subunit ribosomal RNA
Source: RNAcentral
AAUAGAUACCCUGGUAGUCCACGCCGUAAACGAUGAGUGCUAAGUGUUAGAGGGUUUCCGCCCUUUAGUGCUGCAGCUAACGCAUUAAGCACUCCGCCUGGGGAGUACGGUCGCAAGACUGAAACUCAAAGGAAUUGACGGGGGCCCGCACAAGCGGUGGAGCAUGUGGUUUAAUUCGAAGCAACGCGAAGAACCUUACCAGGUCUUGACAUCCUCUGACAACUCUAGAGAUAGAGCGUUCCCCUUCGGGGGACAGAGUGACAGGUGGUGCAUGGUUGUCGUCAGCUCGUGUCGUGAGAUGUUGGGUUAAGUCCCGCAACGAGCGCAACCCUUGAUCUUAGUUGCCAGCAUUCAGUUGGGCACUCUAAGGUGACUGCCGGUGACAAACCGGAGGAAGGUGGGGAUGACGUCAAAUCAUCAUGCCCCUUAUGACCUGGGCUACACACGUGCUACAAUGGAUGGUACAAAGGGCUGCAAGACCGCGAGGUCAAGCCAAUCCCAUAAAACCAUUCUCAGUUCGGAUUGGU